GACGAACGCUGGCGGCGUGCUUAGCACAUGCAAGUCGAACGGAAAGGCCCUGCUUUUGUGGGGUGCUCGAGUGGCGAACGGGUGAGUAACACGUGAGUAACCUGCCCUUGACUUUGGGAUAACUUCAGGAAACUGGGGCUAAUACCGGAUAGGAGCUCCUGCUGCAUGGUGGGGGUUGGAAAGUUUCGGCGGUUGGGGAUGGACUCGCGGCUUAUCAGCUUGUUGGUGGGGUAGUGGCUUACCAAGGCUUUGACGGGUAGCCGGCCUGAGAGGGUGACCGGCCACAUUGGGACUGAGAUACGGCCCAGACUCCUACGGGAGGCAGCAGUGGGGAAUAUUGCACAAUGGGCGGAAGCCUGAUGCAGCAACGCCGCGUGCGGGAUGACGGCCUUCGGGUUGUAAACCGCUUUCGCCUGUGACGAAGCGUGAGUGACGGUAAUGGGUAAAGAAGCACCGGCUAACUACGUGCCAGCAGCCGCGGUGAUACGUAGGGUGCGAGCGUUGUCCGGAUUUAUUGGGCGUAAAGGGCUCGUAGGUGGUUGAUCGCGUCGGAAGUGUAAUCUUGGGGCUUAACCCUGAGCGUGCUUUCGAUACGGGUUGACUUGAGGAAGGUAGGGGAGAAUGGAAUUCCUGGUGGAGCGGUGGAAUGCGCAGAUAUCAGGAGGAACACCAGUGGCGAAGGCGGUUCUCUGGGCCUUUCCUGACGCUGAGGAGCGAAAGCGUGGGGAGCGAACAGGCUUAGAUACCCUGGUAGUCCACGCUGUAAACGGUGGGUACUAGGUGUGGGGUCCAUUCCACGGGUUCCGUGCCGUAGCUAACGCUUUAAGUACCCCGCCUGGGGAGUACGGCCGCAAGGCUAAAACUCAAAGGAAUUGACGGGGCCCCGCACAAGCGGCGGAGCAUGCGGAUUAAUUCGAUGCAACGCGUAGAACCUUACCUGGGUUUGACAUGGAUCGGGAGUGCUCAGAGAUGGGUGUGCCUCUUUUGGGGUCGGUUCACAGGUGGUGCAUGGCUGUCGUCAGCUCGUGUCGUGAGAUGUUGGGUUAAGUCCCGCAACGAGCGCAACCCUUGUUCACUGUUGCCAGCACGUUAUGGUGGGGACUCAGUGGAGACCGCCGGGGUCAACUCGGAGGAAGGUGGGGAUGACGUCAAGUCAUCAUGCCCCUUAUGUCCAGGGCUUCACGCAUGCUACAAUGGCUGGUACAGAGAGUGGCGAGCCUGUGAGGGUGAGCGAAUCUCGGAAAGCCGGUCUCAGUUCGGAUUGGGGUCUGCAACCCGACCUCAUGAAGUCGGAGUCGCUAGUAAUCGCAGAUCAGCAACGCUGCGGUGAAUACGUUCCCGGGGCU
This 1346-nucleotide ribosomal RNA is filed under the name uncultured bacterium. RNAcentral's name for it is "partial 16S ribosomal RNA". It matches the Rfam family "Bacterial small subunit ribosomal RNA", at positions 28 to 1381 of the family's 1533-position model. The record is from RNAcentral.